GUGCAAUCCAGUAUGUUGUAUAUUGCAAAUGGUUCCUUAGAAACUUAUUCUGAGUUAGAUAUAUUCAACACAGGAUUAUUACACAACAUAUGGUGUCACCAUUUUUCACUAAAGCAAUUAUAUGCAUACUACAUAUCACAGAGGUGCAGUAGACUAGCUCAGCGUUUACCACUUGAUGGUGCAAUUAUCAACAAUAAAUACCAAUACAAACAGUACAAAUCCUGUUUAAGUACUCUGCUAACAAAUGUCUAUCAUGACGCUGUUUCUGGAUGGCUUAUGGUAGCUUCAUUGUUUUACAAAACAAAGCAAUACAAAAAAGCUUUACACAUCAUUAGGUAUUCUAUAUCGAAAUGUACUUUCGACAAACUGUUCUUUGGAAUGACUCGGUCAGAAAUCCAUAACCAGUCACUUAAGCUGCUGUCAUUCAACAAGACAAGUGUGGCUAAUCUUCUGAAAAUACUAUUCGUAGAUCAUAUACAAUUACAAAUGAAUUCAACGUUAACACCAGACGAACUUGUAAUGGAGGGAUGGAAUAAACAAUAUACCCUUCCAUCCACAGCGUAUGCUUAUUUCCUUAGUGUUCUUUGUCAUUAUCACCUCAAUAAUGUUAGACAUUGUCAGGAUUCUAUUCAAGAUUUAAAACUUGUUAUAGGAGAAAAAUAUUUGAUGUCAGAUGUGAG
RNAcentral lists this long non-coding RNA (680 nucleotides) under Mytilus galloprovincialis (Mediterranean mussel). The record is from RNAcentral. Lineage: Eukaryota; Metazoa; Mollusca; Bivalvia; Mytilida; Mytilidae.